GCAGUGGUGGCUCAGUGGUAGAAUUCUCAUCUUCCAUGCAGGAGACCUGGGUUCGAGUCCCAGCCAAUGCA
This 71-nucleotide transfer RNA is filed under the name Loxodonta africana (African savanna elephant). It matches the Rfam family "tRNA". Rfam says of the family: Transfer RNA (tRNA) molecules are approximately 80 nucleotides in length. The record is from Rfam by way of RNAcentral. Lineage: Eukaryota; Metazoa; Chordata; Mammalia; Proboscidea; Elephantidae.